Small nuclear RNA from Nomascus leucogenys (northern white-cheeked gibbon), 101 nucleotides. NCBI's taxonomy places the organism in Eukaryota, Metazoa, Chordata, Mammalia, Primates, Hylobatidae. The record is from Ensembl.
GCUUGCGUUGGCUGACAUAUACUAAAAUUGCAAUGUUACAGAGAUUAGCAUGGUUCCUGCACAAGGAUAAUGCGCAAAUUUGUGAAAUGCUCUGUAUUUUU